This 221-nucleotide unclassified non-coding RNA is filed under the name fungal sp. RNAcentral describes it as "partial internal transcribed spacer region". The stretch from base 1 to 46 matches the Rfam family "Eukaryotic small subunit ribosomal RNA", at positions 1786 to 1831 of the family's 1831-position model. RNAcentral also lists the same sequence under 2 other names. The record is from RNAcentral. Lineage: Eukaryota; Fungi.
AAGUCGUAACAAGGUUUCCGUAGGUGAACCUGCGGAAGGAUCAUUAUUGUAGGGACUCCGGUCCCCUCAAGAUGCAACCCGUGCCUUUUUUGUAGCCCGUAACGUUUCCUCGGCAGCCCCGCUGCCAGCGAGGACCCCCCCAAACCAAACCUGCAAUCUCAGUAAAAAAUUCAGAAACCCCCCAAAAUUUAAAACUUUCAACAAUGGAUCUCUUGGCUCUG